Molecule: ribosomal RNA, 497 nt
Filed under: uncultured bacterium
Lineage: Bacteria
Description: partial 16S ribosomal RNA
Rfam family: Bacterial small subunit ribosomal RNA
Source: RNAcentral
GAUGAACGCUGGCGGCGUGCCUAAUACAUGCAAGUCGAGCGAACAGAUGAGGAGCUUGCUCCUCUGACGUUAGCGGCGGACGGGUGAGUAACACGUGGAUAACCUACCUAUAAGACUGGGAUAACUUCGGGAAACCGGAGCUAAUACCGGAUAAUAUAUUGAACCGCAGGGUUCAAUAGUGAAAGACGGUUUUGCUGUCACUUAUAGAUGGAUCCGCGCCGCAUUAGCUAGUUGGUAAGGUAACGGCUUACCAAGGCAACGAUGCGUAGCCGACCUGAGAGAGUGAUCGGCCACCCUGGAACUUAGACACGGUCCAGACUCCUACGGGAGGCAGCAGUAGGCAAUCUUCCGCAAUGGGCGAAAGCCUGACGGAGCAACGCCGCGUGAGUGAUGAAGGUCUUCGGAUCGUAAAACUCUGUUAUUAGGGAAGAACAAAUGUGUAAGUAACUAUGCACGUCUUGACGGUACCUAAUCAGAAAGCCACGGCUAACUACGUG